CCUACGGGUGGCAGCAGUGGGGAAUAUUGCACAAUGGGGGAAACCCUGAUGCAGCGACGCCGCGUGAGUGAAGAAGGAAUUCGGUAUGUAAAGCUCUUUAAGGAGGGAAGAAAAUGACGGUACCUGAGUAAGAAGCACCGGCUAACUACGUGCCAGCAGCCGCGGUAAUACGUAGGGGGCAAGCGUUAUCCGGAUUUACUGGGUGGAAAGGGAGCGUAGACGGCAGUGCAAGUCUGGAGUGAAAGGCGGGGGCUCAACCCGCGGACUGCACUGGAAACUGUACGGCUGGAGUGCAGGAGAGGUAAGUGGAAGUCCUGGUGUAGCGGUGAAAUGCGUAGAUAUUAGGAGGAAAACCAGUGGCGAAGGCGGCUUACUGGACUGUAACUGACGUUGAGGCUCGAAAGCGUGGGGAGCAAACAGGAUUAGAUACCCCAGUAGUC
RNAcentral lists this ribosomal RNA (440 nucleotides) under uncultured bacterium. RNAcentral describes it as "partial 16S ribosomal RNA". It matches the Rfam family "Bacterial small subunit ribosomal RNA", at positions 338 to 795 of the family's 1533-position model. The record is from RNAcentral.